CAGGUCACUCCUACGGGAGGCAGCAGUAGGGAAUCUUGCGCAAUGGGCGAAAGCCUGACGCAGCCAUGCCGCGUGAAUGAUGAAGGUCUUAGGAUUGUAAAAUUCUUUCACCGGGGAAGAUAAUGACGGUACCCGGAGAAGAAGCCCCGGCUAACUUCGUGCCAGCAGCCGCGGUAAUACGAAGGGGGCUAGCGUUGCUCGGAAUUACUGGGCGUAAAGGGCGCGUAGGCGGACAGUUUAGUCAGAGGUGAAAGCCCAGGGCUCAACCUUGGAAUUGCCUUUGAUACUGGCUGUCUUGAGUUCGGGAGAGGUGAGUGGAAUGCCGAGUGUAGAGGUGAAAUUCGUAGAUAUUCGGCGGAACACCAGUGGCGAAGGCGACUCACUGGCCCGAUACUGACGCUGAGGCGCGAAAGCGUGGGGAGCAAACAGGAUUAGAUACCCUGGUAGUCCACGCUGUAAACGAUGAGUGCUAGUUGUCGGCAUGCAUGCAUGUCGGUGACGCAGCUAACGCAUUAAGCACUCCGCCUGGGGAGUACGGUCGCAAGAUUAAAACUCAAAGGAUUGACG
This 567-nucleotide ribosomal RNA is filed under the name uncultured Phenylobacterium sp. RNAcentral describes it as "bacterial SSU rRNA". It matches the Rfam family "Bacterial small subunit ribosomal RNA", at positions 329 to 915 of the family's 1533-position model. Lineage: Bacteria; Pseudomonadati; Pseudomonadota; Alphaproteobacteria; Caulobacterales; Caulobacteraceae. The record is from RNAcentral.